GGCAUGAUAGAGGAUUUUGCAACCCGCUCGAGACGGUGUGGCAUAUUCUCUUUGAUGCACCCACUUUGACUUGAUUUCUCUUUAUACAUAUAUUCUUCUUACUAUUUUUGAGUAUUUCAGUUUAGCAAGUGAUUUAAAUUUCGGGACGAAAUUCUUUUAAGGGGGGUAGAUUGUAACACCUCACCCCCAUUUUAUUUAAAAAUGGUUUUUAAUUCUUAAUUGGUGUGCCCAAGGGGCCCACCUUCUGUUUUUGUGUCCCCCAUUCCCGUCACUCUUCCUUCUCUCUCUGUCCCUCCCCCGUGAACUCCCUUCUUUCUUCUUCUUCUUUUCUGUUUUCUUUUCUUCCUUCUUCUGUCUGUCUCUCGGCUCUCUCUCUUCCCCUGGACUCACUAGGACCGAGUCACCAUCGAAGAGAGGCUCGCAAUGAACCCCGGACCCUGCCCUGCGAGUUCGACGACACGGAGUAAGCUCCGGCGAGCACCUCCCCUUUCGAGGCCAUUUCCGGCCCAACCAAGACGAGUUGGCCGGCGUGCAAGUUUCCGACGAGUCCGACGGCUUUCGAGGCGUUUUCCGGCCAAACCACGGCGAGUUAGACGUCGUGUGAGGGGCAAUAUUGGUGACGUUUUCUUGUUCGUUAGUUUGCAUGGCUCUUCGGCGGCUAAGUACUGUGAGUGGACCCCUUCUAAAAUGCAUGUUUUAUAGUAGAAAUGCAUACAU
Long non-coding RNA from Malus domestica (apple), 717 nucleotides. RefSeq lists it as uncharacterized. Lineage: Eukaryota; Viridiplantae; Streptophyta; Magnoliopsida; Rosales; Rosaceae. The record is from RefSeq and is a predicted model, not a curated record.